CCUAAAUAAAUACGUUGCAAAGUGCAUGACAGUUUCAAACAUUCUAUUUGAUAUUAAACAGACUUCCCCUGCAAACACCCGUCAUCGGUGUCGGAGAGGAACACUACCACAGAUCGUCUUGGCACGACGUCGACAGGAGGGCAUCAAUCACCUGCUGCAUCUGGUGGUGAGCAUCCUCUUCUGUCCUUGGCUAAUCUUCUGGAUGGUCUUGUGUCUUCAUGAGCGCACCUCAAACCGGAAGUCGAGACGCAAGGGGACAAAGCAAUGGUUAUAGACAGCAACAAGGAAAUAUAGACAGGAGAUGCAUGUGGAUUAUAUUUUACAUUCCGAAACAUCAUGUUUUCUGGGUACUGCAUCUAUUCAGAUUAGGCACACAACACUAAAAUGUACAUAUUGUUUUUAA
Long non-coding RNA from Haliotis rubra (blacklip abalone), 403 nucleotides. RefSeq lists it as uncharacterized. NCBI's taxonomy places the organism in Eukaryota, Metazoa, Mollusca, Gastropoda, Lepetellida, Haliotidae. The transcript is spliced from 3 exons. The record is from RefSeq and is a predicted model, not a curated record.